Gorilla gorilla gorilla (western lowland gorilla) is the source of this 148-nucleotide non-coding RNA. It matches the Rfam family "Metazoan signal recognition particle RNA". Rfam says of the family: The signal recognition particle (SRP) is a universally conserved ribonucleoprotein. It is involved in the co-translational targeting of proteins to membranes. NCBI's taxonomy places the organism in Eukaryota, Metazoa, Chordata, Mammalia, Primates, Hominidae. The record is from Rfam.
GCUGAGUGCAGUGGUGGACGCCUGUAGUCCCAGCUACUCUGGAGGCCGAGGUAGGAGGAUCGCUUGAGCCCAGGAGUUUAAGGCUACAGUGAGCUAUGAUUGCAGCACUGUACUCCAGCCUGGGCAACAGAGUGAGACCCUGUCUCUU